AGCAGUGGGGAAUAUUGCACAAUGGGCGGAAGCCUGAUGCAGCAACGCCGCGCGAGGGAAGACGGUUUUCGGAUUGUAAACCUCUGUCUUUGGUGACGAACAACUGACGGUAGCCUAGGAGGAAGCCACGGCUAACUACGUGGCAGCAGCCGCGGUAAUA
Molecule: ribosomal RNA, 160 nt
Filed under: uncultured bacterium
Lineage: Bacteria
Description: partial 16S ribosomal RNA
Rfam family: Bacterial small subunit ribosomal RNA
Source: RNAcentral